This 422-nucleotide ribosomal RNA is filed under the name uncultured bacterium. Its description in RNAcentral is "bacterial SSU rRNA". It matches the Rfam family "Bacterial small subunit ribosomal RNA", at positions 974 to 1387 of the family's 1533-position model. The record is from RNAcentral.
CCUGGUCUUGACAUCCACGGAAUCCUGCAGAGAUGCGGGAGUGCCGCAAGGAACCGUGAGACAGGUGCUGCAUGGCUGUCGUCAGCUCGUGUCGUGAGAUGUUGGGUUAAGUCCCGCAACGAGCGCAACCCUUGUCCUUAGUUGCCAUCAUUAAGUUGGGAACUCUAAGGAGACCGCCGGUGACAAACCGGAGGAAGGUGGGGAUGACGUCAAGUCAUCAUGGCCUUUAUGACCAGGGCUACACACGUGCUACAAUGGCAAGUACAGAGGGAAGCCAACCGGCGACGGGGAGCAAAUCCCAGAAAACUUGUCGUAGUCCGGAUUGGAGUCUGCAACUCGACUCCGUGAAGUCGGAAUCGCUAGUAAUCGCAGAUCAGCAUUGCUGCGGUGAAUACGUUCCCGGGUCUUGUACACACGCAAUC